GUUGGUGUUGAUUGCGGUGAGGGUCCACCCGUUCCCAUCCCGAACACGGAAGUUAAGCUCACCUGCGCCGAAAAUACUUGUCUGGAGACGGACCGGGAAGAUAGGUAAUGCCAACA
This 116-nucleotide ribosomal RNA is filed under the name Odoribacter splanchnicus. Lineage: Bacteria; Pseudomonadati; Bacteroidota; Bacteroidia; Bacteroidales; Odoribacteraceae. The record is from RNAcentral. RNAcentral also lists the same sequence under 3 other names.